UGCUCUUAUUUUCUUUCUAAUAAGAAGUAAUAUUUAGGGUGACUUGUAAUACGUAGGUUACUGUGAGGCUUAUUGUGCCAUUAUGUGAAGUUCAUAUAGGAAUUUCUUAUAUCAUGAUUAAAGGUGUGCUGCACUCCACAAACUGAUGUGCUCCAGUAAUUAGAUAUAUUAGGUAAAGCAUAGAAGACAAGCAUUAUAGAAAACUGAAAAUUGUAAGCAUUUGUGAAUUAUAGAAUUGUAGAUAAAUCUUUGUUGCAAACUAUCUUGUAAAGCCACAAACUGAAAUCUGUUGUGAAGUUUAAUUAGUGAAUUACAGAUGAAUUUGUGUUGAAAAGCAAUCUAUUGCUACAGGUUAGUUCAUAAGCAAUUUUUAUUACAUUUAUGGCACCAAGUAAGGCAUGGAUGGAUCUAGUUGAUGAUCGGCUUAGUGCUGAAUGUUGGGAUGCUAUGUCAUCAAAAAAGGAUAUUUAUCUGAAUGGGGUAAACAAGUUCUUGGAUUAUGCAUUCAGUAGGACUGGUGAUGGAGGUAAAAUUAGGUGUCCCUGUAUAAAGUGUUGCAAUACAUACAACUUGUCUCGUGAGGUUGUGUAUUCACAUCUGAUGGCUUAUGGAAUCAUAAGAAGCUACACCUUUUGGUAUCAUCAUGGGGAAAUUUUGGGAGAAGAUGAGAAUGAUUUAGAAGUGGAAGAUGACGAUGAAUCUGCUGAUGGAAUGCAGGAGCUGAUGGAGGAUCUAUUCCCUCAGAAUAACCUCCCCGGAAGUGACACAAUGGCAGACCCAUCUUCUAGUGAUUUUUUUGAAGAGCAACCAAAUGGGGAAGCUAUGAAGUUUUAUAAUUUGCUUAGUGACUUGAACAAACCUCUUUAUCAUGGAUCCAAUACCACUAAAUUAUCUGCGCUUGUAAAGUUACUUAAUGUUAAGAAUAUGGGAAAGUGGAGUAAUAAGUCCUUCACAGAUUUACUAGAUACACUUCUGAAGGACUUUUUACCUAAUAACUCUACUUUGCCAAGCUCUUACUAUGAUGCAAAAAAGACUAUUAAUGAACUAGGGCUUAGUUACAAAAAAAUUGAUGCUUGUAAGAAUGAUUGUAUGUUGUAUUGGAAAGAAGAAGCAAUGGCUGAUUUUUGCAAGAUAUGUGGAAGGUCAAGAUGGAAGCAAGACAAGCAUUCAGGUGAAAACAAGCAGUCAGGAAAAGGGAAAAAAAUCCCUGAAAAAACAUUACGUUAUUUCCCUCUGAAACCAAGGCUACAACGAUUGUACAUGUCUCGAAGAAUAGCCACUUUCUUGACAUGGCAUAGUGAUGGUAGAGUGGACGAUGGAGUGAUGCGGCAUCCAGCAGAUUCCAAAGCAUGGAAGAAUUUUGAUGAGCUGCACCCUUCUUUUGCAUCUGACCCUCGUAAUAUCAGGCUAUGCCUUGCUGCUGAUGGUUUCCAACCAUUUUCUAACAUCCGAUUAUCUCAUACCAUUUGGCCUAUAUUUCUCGUCCCCCUGAACUUACCUCCUUGGAUGUGUAUGAAGCAACAUAAUGUAAUCCUCUCCAUGUUGAUUCCCGGACGGGAAGAACCUGGGGAUGCGAUUGAUAUUUACCUACAACCAUUAAUUGAUGAAUUGAUUGAGCUUUGGGAGGAGGGUGUUGACACAUAUGAUUCAUCAAAAAAGAUAAAUUUUACUCUCAGAGCAGCCAUUCUUUGGACAGUCCAUGAUUUCCCAGCUUAUGCAAAUCUGUCAGGAUAUAGCACCAAGGGAAAGCUAGCCUGUCCAAUUUGCCACAAAGAAACUUGUUCGUUGUGGUUACCAAACGGUCGAAAAUUUUGUUACAUGGGUCAUAGACGCUUUCUGCCUAAAGGUCACCGAUGGAGAAAUGACAAAGCCUCAUUUGAUGGAACUAGAGAAGUACGUAGCCCAGCGGAACCCUUAACUGGAGAUGAAGUGCUGCAUCAAGUGGACGAUCUGGAGGGGAUUAUUUUGUCCAAGGAUAAGAGCAAGAAGACUAAGAUUUCACACGAUGAGAGGGGGGAUAAUUGGACUAAGAAGAGCAUAUUUUUUAAAUUUCCAUAUUUCAAAACACUUCUGCUGAGGCAUAAUUUAGAUGUGAUGCAUAUAGAGAAGAACAUAUGUGAUUGUAUUAUUGAAACUGUUUUUGGCAUAAAAGGCAAAACAAAGGAUAACAAUAAAUCUCGUCUUGAUUUGAAAGAAAUGAAUUUAAAGCCACAUUUGCAUCCUGUUGAAGAUGGUGGAAAAUAUGUUAUGCCACAGGCAGAUUAUGCUUUGUCUCAAAUGGAUAAGAAAUCAGUAUUACAUUUUUUAAGGAUUUGAAGGUUCCAGAUGGUUUUUCUUCCAAUAUUAGUAGACGUGUGAAUUUGAAGGAGGGGAAACUUUCAGGAACAAAGACCCAUGAUUGUCAUGUCAUAUUAAAUCAUAUACUCCCUUAUGCUCUGCGUGGAUUUUUACCAAAAAUAUUUAUGAGCCUUUACUUGAACUUUCUUAUUUUUUCGAGAACUGAACUCAAAGGCAUUAUCAGUUGAACUGUUACAACAACUGCAGCCUCUUAUAGCCACCACUUUAUGUAAAUUGGAAAAGGAAUUCCCACCCUCAUUUUUCGUUAGCAUGAUGCACUUGCCUAUUCAUUUAGCUUCUGAGGUUCUAAUUGGUGGACCUACAAUGUAUCGUUGGAUGUACCAGUUUGAGAGAUAUAUAAAAUUUCUGAAAUCUCUAGUUCAAAAUAUGGCUCACCCAGAGGCAUCCAUAGCAGAGGGUUAUAUUGCAUAUGAAUUUAUUAUGUUGUGUUCGAGGUACUUGGAUGAUGUAGAGACAGUACACAAUCGACCUGGACGAAUCAAUGAUGCAUCAAACUAUAAAAAGUUUUGUUUACCAAUAUUUUCUUGCAUGGGAAGGCCACUUGGUGCUCACAAGACUCGAGAUCUUGAGUUUCUUGAGUUACAACAGGCUCACAUAUAUGUUCUCAGGAAUUGCUACGAGGUGCAACCAUUUAUUAGUGAGUACAACAGCGGUGAGGGCUCUUCAUUGCUGCAAUUUACAUCCUCCUGGAACAAUAAGUUUAUUGAAUGGUUCAGGGAGAAGAUCCAUAAUUUGUAUGAACAUGAUACAAGUGAAAAAAAUGGAUGACCUUCUAUCGUUGUCUCGGGGCCCUUUGCAAAACACAACAUGUUUUGCAGGCUAUGACAUCAAUGGAUUCAGAUAUCGUAUAGAGAUUCGUGAUAGAAAUCGCUGCACACAAAAUAGUGGGGUGGCUGUUUUUUCAGAAGGGAAUACAACUGAUGACAAUGCUGAAUAUUAUGGUGUAUUAACAGAGAUAAUUGAGCUUCAGUUUCUUGGUGGAAGACGUGUGCCAUUAUUUCGUUGCAAGUGGGUUGACAUAUUCAAUAAAAAGAGAGGAAUAAAGAAGGACACAUAUGGACUUGUUAGUGUCAAUUUUAAGUGCCUCCUUCGAACAGAUGAGCCAUUUGUAUUAGCUAGCCAAGCUUCUCAAGUCUUUUUUGUUAAAGACAAUGUGAUCAAAGGAUGUCACUUGGUUGUCAAAAUGCAGCCACGUGACACAUAUGAUGUAGCCGACGUUUCAGAUGAUGAAGACAUUGAAGAUGAGGAUGCCAAUGCAGAGGAAGACACAUGAUGAAUAUCCUUCAACCACAUCCUUGAGUGGAAAUAGGAAAUAUUGUUAUGAAUUUUGUUUCCAUAUCUUAGGAUAUGAAAUCUGUGACCAUUGCAUCAAUAUUUGUUUUUAUAUUGACAGCUUAUGUAUGAACUAGUUUUUAUAGCCGUUUUUAUUGUCUCCUUGAGGUGCAGCCACGUGCCUCCUUAUAAUGCAGCUUAUGUAUGACCAUUGCAUCAAUAUUUUUGUAUCAACCACAUCCUUGCAUCAAUAGCCGUUUUAUAUUUCUAUCUUGCCAUUAAUCUGUUUUCUUGCUUCUAUUCACAGCUUACCAUUUUGUGCAUUUGUUAUCUAUGUAGGCUGUAGUAAUGCAAAGCAAGUAUGGAAAUGUGAGAUCCCCUCCAAGGUCACACUUCAUCAGCCCAGGAUUGCUUCGUCAACAACAUGUGAAAAGGUCCUAUCCAAACCCCAAUACAGACAUAGGAACAAACAAUGAGAGUUCGUCUAGAAAGCGAGCUAUGAAAGCUAUGGGCAAUGUUAACCAACCAAAAGUAGCAUAUGAUAAUUUAGAAGAUGAAUGUGUGAAUCUUGAAAGCAAAAAAUGGGGACUGAAGAUUAAUAGGGUCACUGGCGAGCCUAUGUAUGAUACAGAUGAUUAAAGUGAACAUGAUUCUGAAUAUGAAAGUGAGUACUCUGAAAAUGAGUACUCUGAAGAUGAAAACAUAGUGAAUAACAUGACAGCAGGGGAGAAGAACUUAUAUUUUCAAAAAAAAAAGAUUCCUGAAUAAGGAGAGACAUCCAAAGAAGUCAAAAUCCAUGAACCAGGAUGCUCCAACAAGCAGAAGGGAUUAUUUUGAAGAUAGGAGGGACUGUGCCAGAGCAUCUAAUGUUGAAGACUUAAUGAAUGCUACAAAAAAUGGUGUGCUUAAUUCACACAACAGAAGGGAUGAUUAUGAAGAAGGGAGAGACAGUGCUAGGGCACUCAAUUCUGAAAACUAUGAGGAGGGGAGGGACUGUACCAGGGCAUCCAAUGCCGAAAACAUUGUGAAUGCUACAAAAAAAGCUGAUAGAACUGAAGAGAAGAGGGGCCAUGGCAAAAACAAAUGUAAAAAACUUGCUAAACUAAAGCCUGGAGAAAAAAUUAAAGUAACGUUCUACAACAACCAUGCUCUUUGUACAACAUUCGCACGACACAUAGGUAGAAUCGUUCGUGAUCCUAGUAUUACCCCUGUGAGAGUAAAGAAGUGGACUGACAUUACUGAGACAUCUCUAAAACAUAUUUUUGUUGCAGUCAAGGACAAGUUUGAAAACAUGGAUGAAAACAUUGAAAUUGAUGUCUACAAAAAUGACAUCAUGGAGCAUGCUAGGUAUUUGUGGAACAAUUGGCGCGGUGACUUAAGUCGACACUAUGUCAAGCCGACAAAGAAUAUGCAACAAGCCAUUAAGAAUUGUCCGAAUGAUUUUGCACAAGCUGAUUGGGAGUGGUUAGUCAAAGAGCAUUUUUGCAGUAAGGAAUUCAUUGCAAAGAGCAAGAGAAAUUCUAGAAACCGAUCCCAUUUGUCAAUCCUUCAUCACAGUGGCAGCAAACCAUUCAGGAAAGUGAUUUAUGACAAUGGCGGCAAGGAUAAUAAUCCACCAGCUUUGGAUGCCUUAUUUUUUAUGACUCACACAAAGGGUGACAAUUUUAUUGAUUCUGAGUCCUCCAGCAAGCAUGCACAAAUUCAGGAACAAAUGUUUUCAGAUCCUUCUCUUUCCAAUGCACAACUUAUGGACAAGUGCUUCCCUUCAAAACGGCAGGACCAUAUCAUUGGAUAUGGUGGUGGAGUGAAAGCAAGACAUCUUUGAAGUCCAUCUGUUAGUAAGGCUGAAUUGUUAGAGAAGCUGAAACAGUCGGAGGAUGAGAAACGAGCAAUGCUUGAGGAGAACAGAGAGCUUCGAGAAGAAAAUCGGGCUACAAACAGUCGUGUAAGCCAAAUGGAAAAGGAGUGGGCAGAGUUGAAGAAACAAAUAAGUAGUAGUUAGCAUAGAAAUCUUGAUUUGAGUAGAGUUUGAGUGAUAUGAAUAUUUACAACUUUUAUACCAUUGGAUAAAUACGUGAUACUGGAUUUAUUAUAUGUAAUAAUCAGAUUACCACCGAUAUAUAUACAAGCUGCAAAUGGUUCAUUGGUGCAUCUCAAU
Molecule: RNA transcript, 5788 nt
Organism: Zea mays
Lineage: Eukaryota; Viridiplantae; Streptophyta; Magnoliopsida; Poales; Poaceae
Exons: 10
Source: RefSeq, a predicted model, not a curated record